Non-coding RNA from Podarcis lilfordi (Lilford's wall lizard), 71 nucleotides. Lineage: Eukaryota; Metazoa; Chordata; Lepidosauria; Squamata; Lacertidae. The record is from the annotation of a GenBank genome assembly.
GGGCCUUAGCUCAGUGGUAGAGCACCUGUUUUGCAUACAGAAGGUCCCAGGUUCAGUUCCCGGCAUCUCCU